RNAcentral lists this ribosomal RNA (301 nucleotides) under uncultured bacterium. RNAcentral's name for it is "partial 16S ribosomal RNA". It matches the Rfam family "Bacterial small subunit ribosomal RNA", at positions 509 to 809 of the family's 1533-position model. The record is from RNAcentral.
CAGUCGCCACGGUAAUACGUAGGGUGCAAGCGUUAAUCGGAAUUACUGGGCGUAAAGCGUGCGCAGGCGGUUAUAUAAGACAGAUGUGAAAUCCCCGGGCUCAACCUGGGAACUGCAUUUGUGACUGUAUAGCUAGAGUACGGCAGAGGGGGAUGGAAUUCCGCGUGUAGCAGUGAAAUGCGUAGAUAUGCGGAGGAACACCGAUGGCGAAGGCAAUCCCCUGGGCCUGUACUGACGCUCAUGCACGAAAGCGUGGGGAGCAAACAGGAUUAGAGACCCCCGGAGUCCCUGUCUCUUAUAA